GAUUAGUCACGCGUUUGGCAAAAUAUUAUACUAUAUCGUGAGGUUAGAAAAGCCGGUCAACGAUUUCGCGGAGAAUCACUUGGCAUCGUUCGAAGAGAGGAAGUGACCGAGGAAUUGGAACGGGGAUGCUGGAUAAACGUAAGAGAAGGAAACUUCCGAAAGUUGAGCUAAUUAAAUCGACCCGUUGCACAGUGGACUGUUUCGACAAUCUGGCGGGAUAAAAGUCGCAAGUUGUUCGUAAACCAUUAAUUAAGUCAUUAAAAUCACCAUCAACACUAUUUUA
Non-coding RNA from Osmia lignaria (orchard mason bee), 283 nucleotides. The record is from RefSeq and is a predicted model, not a curated record. Lineage: Eukaryota; Metazoa; Arthropoda; Insecta; Hymenoptera; Megachilidae.